This 449-nucleotide ribosomal RNA is filed under the name uncultured bacterium. Its description in RNAcentral is "bacterial SSU rRNA". It matches the Rfam family "Bacterial small subunit ribosomal RNA", at positions 354 to 796 of the family's 1533-position model. The record is from RNAcentral.
GUGGGGAAUUUUCCACAAUGGGCGAAAGCCUGAUGGAGCAACGCCGCGUGUGUGAUGAAGGUCUUCGGAUUGUAAAGCACUUUCGACCGGGACGAAAAACCUCUGGCUAACAUCCAGGGGCCUGACGGUACCGGGAGAAGAAGCACCGGCUAACUCUGUGCCAGCAGCCGCGGUAAUACAGAGGGUGCAAGCGUUGUUCGGAAUUAUUGGGCGUAAAGCGCGUGUAGGCGGCUUGAUAAGUCAGAUGUGAAAUCCCUCGGCUUAACCGAGGAAGUGCGUCUGAAACUAUCGAGCUUGAGUGCCGGAGAGGGUGGCGGAAUUCCGCAAGUAGAGGUGAAAUUCGUAGAUAUGCGGAGGAACACCGGUGGCGAAGGCGGCCACCUGGACGGCAACUGACGCUGAGACGCGAAAGCGUGGGUAGCAAACAGGAUUAGAAACCCGUGUAGUCC